RNAcentral lists this ribosomal RNA (138 nucleotides) under uncultured eukaryote. RNAcentral describes it as "partial 18S ribosomal RNA". It matches the Rfam family "Eukaryotic small subunit ribosomal RNA", at positions 1299 to 1458 of the family's 1831-position model. The record is from RNAcentral.
UGGUGGGGUGACCCGUCUGGUUAAUUUCGAUAACGAACGAGAUCCGAGCUGUUUAGUUGGCCAUGUCCGUCUCGGCGAGGUAUGUGUCUCCUAUAUGGACUGUCAGUAUGAGGCUGAAGGAAGUUUCGGGCUAAAUCA